This 200-nucleotide small nucleolar RNA is filed under the name Lachancea lanzarotensis. RNAcentral's name for it is "Small nucleolar RNA snR34". It matches the Rfam family "Small nucleolar RNA snR34". Lineage: Eukaryota; Fungi; Ascomycota; Saccharomycetes; Saccharomycetales; Saccharomycetaceae. The record is from Rfam by way of RNAcentral.
GAAUCAAAAAUGCACGGAAACGAUGCCACAGUUAGCUUAGUCUGUCUUCUAACAGCUGCUAAUUGCCAAUAUUCCUUUUCUUGAAUUUGGAAUAUGAGUUUCCCAGAACAAUUUAUAAUAUGACUGGAUUUUAGGAAGUUCGCGGUUGGUGAGUCCCUCAGGGGAUGAUAGACCGGGAAUGUCGAAGAAAGGCUACAUUU